CCUACGGGAGGCAGCAGUGAGGAAUAUUGGUCAAUGGGCGCGAGCCUGAACCAGCCAAGUAGCGUGAAGGAUGACUGCCCUACGGGUUGUAAACUUCUUUUAUAAAGGAAUAAAGUGAGGCACGUGUGCCUUUUUGUACGUACUUUAUGAAUAAGGAACGGCUAACUCCGUGCCAGCAGCCGCGGUAAUACGGAGGAUCCGAGCGUUAUCCGGAUUUAUUGGGUUUAAAGGGAGCGUAGAUGGGUUGUUAAGUCAGGUGUGAAAGUUUGGGGCUUAACCGUAAAAUUGCAAUUGAUACUGGCAGGCUUGAGUACAGUUGAGGUAGGCGGAAUUCGUGGUGUAGCGGUGAAAUGCUUAGAUAUCACGAAGAACACCGAUGGCGAAGGCAGCUUACUAAACUGCCACUGACAUUGAGGCUCGAAAGUGUGGGUAUCAAACAGGAUUAGAUACCCGAGUAGUC
RNAcentral lists this ribosomal RNA (460 nucleotides) under uncultured bacterium. RNAcentral describes it as "partial 16S ribosomal RNA". It matches the Rfam family "Bacterial small subunit ribosomal RNA", at positions 338 to 795 of the family's 1533-position model. The record is from RNAcentral.